CAGCCUAAUGAUUUUAUGCCAGCCUCUCCCUUCCCUUUUCCUGAGGCUGGUAUGGCUGGACUUCCCUGCACAUUGAUGAUACUCAGCUGCUGCAAUGGCAGAUGAGGUCCCAAUUUUCAGAGGUGCUGCUCCUAUUGAGAACAUGGCUAUAAUGGAUACCACAGCCUCAUCACCAAUGGACACUCCCAACCACUGCCGGAACACUGUCCUACUCACAAGGAUGGGGUAGAGAAAAGCUACAUGUGUACCAGGUCUGGAGAUUUUCUAAUUGGCCACCAUCAUCACUCCUGCACACAUCAAAUGUUCCAGGCAGUAAAUGCAGUUUAGCAUCAGUGAUGGUACAGCCCCAACCCCAAAAGAAUGCAAAAAAUAAAUGUACAUUUGUCUAUGCACCAAUUACAGCUGUUAACGUAACAUCAUAGGAGCUACUUGUCAGAAUGGACUGAAUUUGGGGAGAUACAGAGUAGUUUUGUCGAAGUGCUGGGUUCUCUUAACUCCCCCAUUGAAAAAACUGAGUGUUAAGGGUGCUCAGUGGUUCUAAGGAAGCACUCAGCGCCUUGCAGGAUUGGUCCCACUGAGUCCCAACAGAAGCUCCAAGACGAGUAAAGACCAAGACUACGCCACAC
Molecule: long non-coding RNA, 626 nt
Organism: Caretta caretta (loggerhead turtle)
Lineage: Eukaryota; Metazoa; Chordata; Testudines; Cheloniidae
Source: RefSeq, a predicted model, not a curated record